RNAcentral lists this ribosomal RNA (451 nucleotides) under uncultured bacterium. RNAcentral describes it as "partial 16S ribosomal RNA". It matches the Rfam family "Bacterial small subunit ribosomal RNA", at positions 28 to 507 of the family's 1533-position model. The record is from RNAcentral.
GAUGAACGCUGGCGGCGUGCCUAACACAUGCAAGUCGAGCGGCAGCGAGGGGUGCUUGCACCCUGCCGGCGAGCGGCGGACGGCUGAGUAACGCGUGGGAACGUGCCCCAAAGUGAGGAAUAACUGCCCGAAAGGGUAGCUAAUACCGCAUAUUAUCUUCGGAUCAAAGGAUUUAUCCGCUUUGGGAGCGGCUCGCGUCGGAUUAGGUAGUUGGUGAGGUAAUGGCUCACCAAGCCGACGAUCCGUAGCUGGUCUGAGAGGAUGACCAGCCAGACUGGAACUGAGACACGGUCCAGACUCCUACGGGAGGCAGCAGUGAGGAAUCUUCCACAAUGGGCGAAAGCCUGAUGGAGCAACGCCGCGUGCAGGACGAAGGCCUUCGGGUUGUAAACUGCUUUUAUAAGUGAGGAAUAUGACGGUAACUUAUGAAUAAGGAGCGGCUAACUACGUG